This is a long non-coding RNA of Aegilops tauschii subsp. strangulata, 1121 nucleotides long. RefSeq lists it as uncharacterized. The record is from RefSeq and is a predicted model, not a curated record. NCBI's taxonomy places the organism in Eukaryota, Viridiplantae, Streptophyta, Magnoliopsida, Poales, Poaceae.
AUCGGCCAAUGGAGGCAUCCCCCCGUUUAUUCCGUUCAAACGGGAACGGUGCUUCAUAGCUCCACUAGUGCAUCCUUUCCCUCUCCUAUAAAUACCGUACGAUCCCCUUCUCAACUCACCAUCCAAAUAAACAGUAAUGUUCUACAGAGAUGCAAGAAGCAGAUCUCUCAGUAGACUAGCUACGUAAUGGAGAUAGAGAGAGGGAGGGUAGAGAGAAAGAGGGGGAGAAGAUUGGCCGGCCUGUUUUCCGGAGGAGACUUCUUCAAUUCUUGUCUUUGUUUCUUGAUGUUGGGAGGAAGGGAGUGAGGUGGAGGCUGACAGAAGAGAGUGAGCACACAUGGUGCCUUUCUUGCAUGGUGAAUUAAUGGGAGAAGUUCAUGCUUGAAGCUAUGUGUGCUCAUUUCUCUCUCUGUCAGCCAUUAUAACUCUCUCUCUCUCUCUCACUCUCUGUGUGUGUGCGCGCGCGCGCGUGAACUUUUGGUGAUCUCUUUCUUUGAGCUACCUAAUUACAUACAUAUGUGAUCUGCAGAAGAGAGGUGGGUGCUGUGUGUGGAAGUUGACAGAAGAGAGUGAGCACCCAUGGUGUUUCCUUAGCAUCAAGGGGCAUGCCAGGGAGCUAUGCGUGCUCACUGCUCUAUCUGUCAGCCACUGAUCAGACCCCAUUUCUUGCAUGCAAUCACAUAUCCCAGGGUUUAUGCAGUUUCCAUGAUCGGCGGCAGAGGGAGGUGAGCUGGGCUUUGGAGGUCUGACAGAAGAGAGUGAGCACACGCGGUGGUUUCCUAGCAUGCGAGCGCCAUGCUGGGAGCUGCGCGUGCUCACCCUCUCUCUGUCAGCCAUUCACCAUCCCCAUCUCUCUUCUAUCUGCUGCCAAUCAAUCGACGAACAACCAAAGAGGGCACUGAGAUCCAUGUAAUAUAUGCAGGCAAACAGUAGGUCGGCGUUCUGAAUUUCAGAGACUGGGUUUCCUGGGUUUUUGAGAAGGUUUAGCCCUCAUAGCAGAUCGCUUCCAUUGAAGCUAGCUCACUUCUCUCUCUAGUUGUAAUGCGUAGAGGUCAUGUCUUCUCAAAGAACAUGUGUUAAUAGCUCUGCUGAGAUUGAAUGAAAGUAAUAUUUCCUUUGAA